ACUGAGACACGGUCCCCACUCCCACAGGAGGCGCCACUGGGGAAUAUUGUGCAAUGUGCGCACGCCUGAUGCGCCCCUGCGCCGUGUAUAAAAAAAGCCUUCUCGUUGUAAAGUACUUUCUCCGCGGAGAAGAGCGACAGGGUUAAUAACCCCGUCUAUUGAGGUUUCCCCCACAAAAAACACCGGCUAACUCUCUGCGACCACCCGCGGUAAUACAGAGGGUGUGCACGUUUAUCUCAAUUACUGUGCGUAAAGCGCACACACGCGGUCUGUUAAAUCUCAUGUGUAAUCCCCCGGCUUAACCUGUGAACUGCAU
RNAcentral lists this ribosomal RNA (316 nucleotides) under Pantoea sp. Its description in RNAcentral is "partial 16S ribosomal RNA". It matches the Rfam family "Bacterial small subunit ribosomal RNA", at positions 318 to 626 of the family's 1533-position model. The record is from RNAcentral. Lineage: Bacteria; Pseudomonadati; Pseudomonadota; Gammaproteobacteria; Enterobacterales; Erwiniaceae.